Molecule: ribosomal RNA, 398 nt
Filed under: uncultured bacterium
Lineage: Bacteria
Description: bacterial SSU rRNA
Rfam family: Bacterial small subunit ribosomal RNA
Source: RNAcentral
AUCGAACGCUGGCGGCAUGCCUAACACAUGCAAGUCGAACGGAGAUAGGGGCAACCUUAUUUCAGUGGCGGACGGGUGAGGAAUGCGUCGGAAUCUGCCCUAUGGUGGGGGAUAACACAGGGAAACUUGUGCUAAUACCGCAUAAUGUCGAGAGACCAAAGCAGGGGACCGCAAGGCCUUGCGCGAUAGGAUGAGCCGACGCCCGAUUAGCUUGUGGUAGGGUAAUGGCCUACCAAGGCGACGAUCGGUAGCUGGUCUGAGAGGAUGAUCAGCCACACUGGGACUGAGACACGGCCCAGACUCCUACGGGAGGCAGCAGUGGGGAAUAUUGGACAAUGGGCGCAAGCCUGAUCCAGCAAUGCCGCGUGUGUGAAGAAGGCCUGCGGGUUGUAAAGCAC